Molecule: long non-coding RNA, 277 nt
Organism: Lycium barbarum (goji berry)
Lineage: Eukaryota; Viridiplantae; Streptophyta; Magnoliopsida; Solanales; Solanaceae
Exons: 3
Source: RefSeq, a predicted model, not a curated record
GUUGAUUUCCUACUAAGUCAAGGUUCCUUUGUAACUUGGUAUAGUUGUUUCGGAGUGGGAAGCAUUAGAAUCACCAAAGUGAUCAUAUCUCCAAGUGAAGAAGACUUGAAGAAAAGUUUUUCGACGAAACGGGAAGUGAGUUUGGAAAGGCGUAAGGAGCGUGAAAGGUACAGACGACAGGUUCGCUGAUCCAUCUGUUUAGGAUCCCACUUCUGCUAUUUUGGGCCCUCUCUUCUUCAGAGCCCACUUUUUGGUACAGUCUGUCACUGCUAUCUGG